UACGGAGGGGGCAAGCGUUGUUCGGAAUUACUGGGCGUAAAGGGCGCGCAGGCGGCUGCUCAAGUCAGGCGUGAAAGGCCUGGGCUCAACCCGGGAAUUGCGCUUGAGACUGGGCUGGCUUGAGUGCGGGAGAGGAUGGUGGAAUUCCCAGUGUAGAGGUGAAAUUCGUAGAUAUUAGGAAGAACACCAGUGGCGAAGGCGGCUCACUGGCCCGGUACUGACGCUGAGGCGCGAAAGCGUGGGGAGCGAACAGG
This 254-nucleotide ribosomal RNA is filed under the name uncultured bacterium. Its description in RNAcentral is "partial 16S ribosomal RNA". It matches the Rfam family "Bacterial small subunit ribosomal RNA", at positions 524 to 776 of the family's 1533-position model. The record is from RNAcentral.